Molecule: ribosomal RNA, 206 nt
Filed under: uncultured bacterium
Lineage: Bacteria
Description: partial 16S ribosomal RNA
Rfam family: Bacterial small subunit ribosomal RNA
Source: RNAcentral
UGUGUAGGUGGUGUAAUUAGUCGGGUGUUAAACUUGGGGCCCAACCUCAAGAUCGCAUUCGAAACGGUUACACUAGAGGAAAUGAGGGGUGUGUGGAACUCACGGUGUAGGGGUGAAAUCCGUUGAUAUCGUGGGGAACACCAAAAGCGAAGGCAACACACUGGCAUUUUCCUGACACUGAGACACGAAAGCGUGGGUAGCGAACG